Molecule: long non-coding RNA, 433 nt
Organism: Pundamilia nyererei
Lineage: Eukaryota; Metazoa; Chordata; Actinopteri; Cichliformes; Cichlidae
Exons: 3
Source: RefSeq, a predicted model, not a curated record
GGUAAACCAUGUGGAGCGAUUCUCACAGAAUCAUAAACACAAAUUGAAAGACAUCACCACUGUCGUGAAGAGGCCAUUGUUGAGUUGUGGGCAGUACACCAUCGACAGCUGGAGUGCAUCUAGGAUCCACCAUACAUGGAAAUUUUUAGGUGUAGGCUGAAUUCCAGUGUUUUCUGACAGGAUGUCAGGUCCCCACUGUGCAGCACAGCUUUAUCGCUACAGUGUGAAGCUCUGACAGGAGCUCGGUGCUGUAUUUGGUUGUCAGGGAUGAAACACAGGGUUGUCUCUGCGAAUGCUUCAACUCUAACUGUUUGGAAAAACUGUUGAAUCUAAACUUUGAUUGUGUCCUCUGUUUUAUGUUACUUGAAUUUUCUUUUAGAUGUACCUAACUUUAAUCAUCAGCUGUAGUUUUUAAAUGUACUUUAGAAAUAAA